GGAGGGAAGCUGUACUGCCACCAUAUUAAGAAAAAAAGAAUUUGGUCCUACGCUACUACAGCUUGUAACACCUUAAGCCCAAAGGCCGCUUCAGAGGAUGAGAAUAUAUCUAGCCUGUAGUGCUUAGUGAAGGUGUUGAAGGAAGACCAAGAUGCUGCCUUACAGAUGUCUUCUGGAGAAACAAGAGCCCUUUCUGCCCAUGAGGCAUCCAUAGCCAGAGUGGAAGGAGCCGUUAGAGAAACUGGAACUUGAAAACCACUGGAAGAAUAUGGCAAUCUAAUAGCUUGAAUGAGCCAACAAGAAAGAAUUGCGGGAAGCUUCUUUCCCCUUGAAUUUUCCCUGGAAGUUAAACAGAUUGUCAGAAUUCCUGUACUCCUUAGUCCUAGAAAGAUACAUUUGCAAUGCUCUUCUGUCAUCUAAGUUAUGCCAUUUAAGCUCCUGAGGAGAGGAGGCAUUACCACAAAAAGAAG
Molecule: non-coding RNA, 470 nt
Organism: Pelobates cultripes (western spadefoot toad)
Lineage: Eukaryota; Metazoa; Chordata; Amphibia; Anura; Pelobatidae
Source: the annotation of a GenBank genome assembly